GGAGGAAAGCAGGGGAUCGAAAGACCUCGCGUUAUUGGAGCGGCCAAUGCCGGAUUAGCUAGUUGGUGAGGUAAAGGCUCACCAAGGCGACGAUCCGUAGCUGGUCUGAGAGGACGACCAGCCACACUGGGACUGAGACACGGCCCAGACUCCUACGGGAGGCAGCAGUGGGGAAUUUUGGACAAUGGGGGCAACCCUGAUCCAGCCAUGCCGCGUGAGUGAAGAAGGCCUUCGGGUUGUAAAGCUCUUUCGCAAGGAAAGAAAACUUAUCUACUAAUACUAGGUGAGGAUGACGGUACCUUGAUAAGAAGCACCGGCUAACUACGUGCCAGCAGCCGCGGUAAUACGUAGGGUGCGAGCGUUAAUCGGAAUUACUGGGCGUAAAGCGUGCGCAGGCGGUUUCGUAAGCCAGAUGUGAAAUCCCCGGGCUCAACCUGGGAACUGCGUUUGAAACUACAAGGCUAG
Molecule: ribosomal RNA, 465 nt
Filed under: uncultured ammonia-oxidizing beta proteobacterium
Lineage: Bacteria; Pseudomonadati; Pseudomonadota; Betaproteobacteria
Description: bacterial SSU rRNA
Rfam family: Bacterial small subunit ribosomal RNA
Source: RNAcentral